Molecule: transfer RNA, 95 nt
Filed under: Pestalotiopsis fici W106-1
Lineage: Eukaryota; Fungi; Ascomycota; Sordariomycetes; Amphisphaeriales; Sporocadaceae
Rfam family: tRNA
About the family: Transfer RNA (tRNA) molecules are approximately 80 nucleotides in length. Their secondary structure includes four short double-helical elements and three loops (D, anti-codon, and T loops).
Source: Rfam by way of RNAcentral
GGGCGAAUGGCUCAGUGGUAGAGCAUCCGCUUUGCAUUCGACUAGCGUCGAUAGCACCUUGCGGAAGGUCCAGGUUUCGAUCACCUGUUCGUCCA